RNAcentral lists this long non-coding RNA (454 nucleotides) under Struthio camelus australis. Its description in RNAcentral is "lncRNA (ENSSCUG00000016227.1)". Lineage: Eukaryota; Metazoa; Chordata; Aves; Struthioniformes; Struthionidae. The record is from RNAcentral.
CAUGUCCCGGCAUAACAUUGACUAUCACAUGUCAUCAAAUACCCUAUAGUAAAUCCAAAGCAUUUCAGAUAUCCCAGCUGAGAUUCAUGCUUCUGAAUUCUGUUAAAAACAGGAAUUUGGCUAAGCCAGAAACGUCCAAGUGUCCGUUUCAAAGAAGCCGUGGCCCAUGUCUCAGAAGCCUGUAACACUCUUCUGCACUCGCAUUUCUCUCCUUCCUUUGGGCCAAUCUGACCUGAGGAAAAACCCUCCUAGACCCAAAUCUGUGAACAAGGAAACAAAAGAGAAUGGAAAUAAGUGCAAGAUAACAUCCAGCAGUUCUGGUUCUGAACAAAAUACACGAGCUCUCCUCUUUCCAUAGAGGUGCAGACAACUCCAGAGACACCAAUUUUUAAACAGAGCAUAAAUCUCAGAUCCGACUUCCUUUUCUUGCUCCUCCCCCUUUCCCUGAAGGUAG